UCUUUGCUGCAGAGAUCAGUGUCAGUCCCCCUCACUAUACUGUCCCCUAGUACUACUACAUUCCUUUUUGCUUCCUGUACCAUGGUGCCAUGAUCAAUCUGCUCAUCCACUCUGCAGCCUUUCGGUCCACGCAGGUUGAAAGCACCUCAGACCUGGUUUGACAAUUGCAAAGUCUGAGUCUCCUCCACUCCUGUCUGCUUGGUACCUUUACCUGUCUCCCUCACGGUUACACCCUCCUGUCCCUCACCGCUGACCAAACCAGGCAACCCUAUCCUUAGAAGUAUGACUGUCUCCUGGAACGAAGUGUCCAGGUAUUGUUGCGCAGUGUCUGCGGUUUGGCUUCUAGAUCAAUAAUCCUGAUCCAGAAUUCCUCUAGCUGUUUACACUUUCUGCAGACGUGUUUGGCCUGGAUCGCCUUGGCAUCCAAAAGUCCCACAUUCCACAGCUGCAACAUAAAACCUGUCCUGCCAUUAUUGCUUAUUUGAAUUUAAUUACUUUCUUAAUUAACUUGGAAUAAUUCAUGUAUAUAUUACAGUUUACUGUGCUUAUUAAAUGCUAAUACCACUAACUACUAAAAGUUAUGUUUCUUAAUUACACAGGUAUGUGUCUUAAGUGUUUAUUUUAAUUAUUUUACUUUAUUUAUUUAAAUGUUUUAGUUCAUUUUAUUUAUAGAUCUACCCUAACUCUGGUGACCGAAGCUAUCUGUUAAUACACUGUCCCUUACACCAAGCACUUACCGGCCAAUGAACUUACUAGUUUCCUGUGAUAUCACAGUUGUGUUUUUUUCACUUAGUUUCUUCUGCAGCUAAAAUGGCCACAGUCUCAGCUCCAUCCUCGCAGAUUUUAAACAGUGAAGCUCCCGGCUCCUUCCUCGCAGAUUUUAAACAGUGAAGAACGUGAUGCAGGAUUAAUCUUGCAUCCUGAUUUUUGGAAGAGCGUGUUUGUGAGUCUAAAAGGAUGGCCUACCUGUCAACAUAAGACUGGGUGAUGUUUAUGGAUGUUUACCUACCCCCUCCCUCACCAGCCUCCUAACUGAUUGUUUCUUACAGCUGUUUGUCACUGUUUGAAUAAAUCUAGUGUUUUGCCAUUCUUGAAAUGACCUUUAACAGUCCAGCAAAUAUUGUAAUGUUUCUGAGUGAAGUAUUUAAUAGAGGCCUACUGGAAAUACUUGAUUGAUAUCUACCUCCAUUUGAUCAAUUAUUUUCUAUAAUGAGCAAUUUUAAAUAAGAGAAUUUGCAAACAGUGCAGCUACUCAGACAAACCAAAUGGAUUAGGUGUUUUAUAAUAUUUCCAUUCACCAGGAAAUAUUAAGUUUGCUGAACAACUUGGUGAAAGAGCAGAAUAGUUGAGCUGCCCGUAAGGAGGCUGAUUCUCGCAAACAAAUGUGAGCAGGUCGAUGCUGGCUGAUUUGACUGAGUGAGGAAACAACUGCUUUUGUCCUCCCAUCUCCUGAACAAGAUCGUGGAAACACUGCUGAGAGUUAAGUUGAUGCAUCCUAAAUACAUUUGAAGGAAGGCCAUUUGUCCCAUCUUAGCUUGUCAAUUUCCCCCCUUUCAAAAAAAUGAUUUCCUUAUUUUCACCUGUCUUCUUUAUCAAGACCAAAGUUUCUCCUGUCUUUUGUAAUAUCAUGUUGACACUUGACAUCAGCCACGAGUCUUUUCUGUAUAGCUUCUAAUGUUAAAAUAUUUUUUCUCUUUUUGAUUAUUAACAUUUGGUUAAGAUGCUGUUUGAGCAGUACUCUACAGUUUUAGCAAGGCAACCUCUGAUUUAGCAAGAUAGUUCACUGUGCUAUCACUAUUUAUUGAUGUUCAAUCAUUUGACAUUUAAUUGCUGAAUCUAAAAUACAAUUUAAAGAAGAUUGAUGUAACUUUUCUUGGAGAGAAUAGUCAAUUCUAAGUUAAAUAAAUAUUUGGUGUGUGCAAGUACUUAACAUUGUAUUGUUGAGGGUUAAAUGUAAUAUUAGAUUCAUGGUUUUUGCUCUGAUCUCUAUCCAAUGAUGUCUACUUGGAAGUUUUUGCUUGGUGAGGACAAUAUCAAGCCUAUCUAUUGCCCAAUGACCUGUCGAAUCUUUUAGACAUACAGCGAAUUGUUACUUGGAUGAGGUAUGGGAUGUCUAGCUGGAUCUGCAGAACUGCACAGCAACAAGGAAUCAUAGCACUUGCUCAGCCUUUCUAUGGCUCUUGGACUGUAAAUUGCAGUAAUUAAAAAUUCAAAACAGCACAGCCUCCUCUACAAGGAAUCUGUGGAAACAGGAUUAUUGCAAAAGAAUGCAAUUUGUUUUCAAACAUGAAGAUGGUGUGCAGCUUAUUUCUUCUGUUACAUGGAACAACUCUAGAGCCAAUCAUGGAGCAGGCUAUUUUAGAUCUGGUGGGCAGACCAUCGCACCCUAAAUGGUGGAAGAAGUUAUCCAAGUUGCAGGGAAAAAUUUGGGAAAUAAAAACUUUAGAAAAAUUGCAAGAAUUCAUUCAGCAGGAAUCCAUUGUUUAAACUUCCCAAUUCCUUUCGCUGUUGGGAGGGGUGGGGGUUGUUUCACCACUAACAAAAGUGUGUACCGGGGACAAGUACUUAAGGAGUUUAAUCUCUGCUCUGACGUUAAUUGAUCCACAGGCCACUAGAUGGUGUUUUGCAACACUGUACAUCGAAAACAAUACAAAUCUCAUAAGCUUACUUACAAUUACAGCAUUCACAUUGUCCUUUUAACGGGCUGGGCCCAUUCAUCAGCUGGGUCUCGGUUUAAGUUGACUUUUUAUAGACCAUUAAAUUCUAAACUACUAAUCUCAACUCAAGAAUAGAAUACAAUGAACAAUAUAUUAAAUCAGAGAAACUCCUUGACAGAAACAUUUAUUUUAAGGGAACAAUUUCACCUAUAUCCAUACCGUAUCUAUAUCGGAAUUAUUUAGCGUGGACCACUUUUGAGUGUUUUGUUUUGAUGCAGCAGUAUUUAGUAUUUUAAAAUAAUUUUCAUCUCGCUGUGCUGUAAACUGGCGGGAACAACAGUAACCACAGGGGGGUCUGCAGCCAAUUCAUUCAAUCCUCCCUAGCUGUACAAAGUGUAAGUGGCUAAGCUGAGGAGAAAAAGUUGAAGAAACAUUUUUAUUGUUUCUCCACCAGCCCUUUUUCUAAGUGUCAAUCAAAAAUCUUUCAAUUUAACUGCUUCAGAUCAACGUAAUUGGGUCUGGCCGUUUUGGAAAAAAGUGAAGUUUUGAAUAAAGUUACUUGGGUGACCUUAACAUUUUACAGUGGUUCACAUUUGCUUGUGAGUGGUGCUGUGAACAGACGAAUCCUAUCCAUGUAGCCUAGUGUUUGUGUAAACUGUGCCACCAUUUCAUACGUGACUGUAGAAAAAUAACUCUACCCCCAGCAAUCACAUUACAGAGGAUAUAAAGCCAUGAACUCUGUCCAUAAGAGUACACAAUUAACGCCCUGAUAAUUGAAUUGAGUAGAAUUGAGUGUUUUUAAUAGCAUCAUGAUGAAAUGUUGCCAGAACAGUGAACAGAAAUGCAUGAUGAUGCCUUUUAAGAUGUCUGGAUACAGCACAAUGUUUUAGCUUACUACACAAUGUAAAGUGGUAACUGCAGUCUAAUGCUCUUAUUGUUGAUUCCUAUUGCAAAUAAAGGACAUAUUGUAAUACA
Molecule: long non-coding RNA, 3632 nt
Organism: Carcharodon carcharias (great white shark)
Lineage: Eukaryota; Metazoa; Chordata; Chondrichthyes; Lamniformes; Lamnidae
Exons: 3
Source: RefSeq, a predicted model, not a curated record